GCGAGUGAAGCGGCAACAGCUCAAAUUUGAAAGCUGGCUUAGGCCCGCAUUGUAAUUUGCAGAGGAUGCUUCUGGCGAGGUGCCUUCCGAGUUCCCUGGAACGGGACGCCAUAGAGGGUGAGAGCCCCGUAUGGAUGGACACCAAACCUGUGUGAAGCUCCUUCAACGAGUCGAGUAGUUUGGGAAUGCUGCUCUAAAUGGGAGGUAAAUCUCUUCUAAAGCUAAAUACCGGCCAGAGACCGAUAGCGCACAAGUAGAGUGAUCGAAAGAUGAAAAGCACCUUGAAAAGGGGGUUAAACAGUACGUGAAAUUGUUGAAAGGGAAGCGCUUGUGACCAGACUUGCGCCGGGCAGCUCAUCAGGGGUUUUCCCCUGUGCACUCUGCCCGGCUCAGGCCAGCAUCGGUUCUUGUGGGAGGAUAAGAACGGUAGGAACGUGGCCCCCUUUCGGGGGGGUGUUAUAGCCUACCGUACGAUACUCCCGUGGGGACCGAGGUUCGCGCUCCGCAAGGAUGCUGGC
Molecule: ribosomal RNA, 518 nt
Filed under: Cytospora carbonacea
Lineage: Eukaryota; Fungi; Ascomycota; Sordariomycetes; Diaporthales; Cytosporaceae
Description: eukaryotic LSU rRNA
Rfam family: Eukaryotic large subunit ribosomal RNA
Source: RNAcentral